Molecule: long non-coding RNA, 688 nt
Filed under: Fukomys damarensis (Damara mole-rat)
Lineage: Eukaryota; Metazoa; Chordata; Mammalia; Rodentia; Bathyergidae
Description: lncRNA (ENSFDAG00000030256.1)
Source: RNAcentral
UUUUCUCUUUUUGCUUUAAUUUCUUCCUAUAUUACCCAAAGCGUUUAAACAGAACUUUCUAAUUUGUGAAGUAUAUUUAUGUACAUUCUCUUAUUUAAACAAUAUCUAUAACACUGAAAUCUUCCUCGAAUGGAGACAAAAACCGAUGUGUUUUCUGCCUUCAAGGGGUAGAGACAGACAUGAAGUGCAUACCUCCCGCUUGUCCCAGUCUAGUCAGGCUGGGGUGGUGAUACUACGUAUAGGGCCAUGUGAGGGAGGCUGAAGGAGCUUCUGACACAGCUCUCUCUCCUCUGGCUGAGUGAACAGCUUAAUCCUCGGCUUCUCCACCUGUCUUCUUGGGUGUGCCAGCAAGUACCCGCCCAUUCCCCAGCUCCAGCCAACUGUGCUGGGCCGGGCCUGCGAACCGAUCGCAUAUGUUACCCAGGAAAUUAUUGGGAUGUCACACGGCAGUGUCAUCUUCCUGGCGCCUGCCCUUGAGCAGAUUGUGAUUCAGUGACCCACAGGCCCAUCCCUCACAAUGCUGAACCCUUCGCGAUUGUGCCCCCCCCCUUGGUUCUCCAGGCAGAGACCCCAUCCAGCGAGAGGGGCAGACAGAUCCAGAGCUCCAUUUCCUCAGCCUUUUGCUGAAGAAGCUGCUCUGAGGCCAUCAGGUGGUCCUCAUUUCCGGCCAGCGGCUAAUACAGUUUGA